AAGAUGGUGAAAAAGAGAGAAAGUGAGGGGGGCGGGGGGGUUGAUAGAGAGUGUUGCGCUGCAGACACACGAGACCACCGUCGCUUCACCGCCGGAGAGCCAGGGCUCAGCGGUUGGGCCCCAGAGAAAUUGGCUGGCCCUCUUUCCACUUCUCUUUCGAAGCGAUAUUAAACACAAACAGAAGGGGCCUCGCCGUUGAAACAAAGCCCUGAUGUCACGCCGCUUAUUUUCUUUGGAAGGUAACAGGAGUGCUCUGGCCAACCCCUGGCGAUAUGAGACCCCCGUAAGAAUGUGCCGUGAAUGGCUGGUGGUGAGGCCUCUCGCGUCAAUCAAGCCCACCGCAGAGUUACUUCUGGUGAUGCCUGAUAUUCUUACAGCUCUGAGGGGAGCAGGGCCGACACACCAGGCUUUGAGCAGGUUUCCGUUAGGAGGAGGAGGAGGGAGAAAUGGAUCGACUGCCACUAAGCUGGCCCACACAGAGGGAGGAUGGAGGCUAAAUAUUGCACUUGGAGGCUCACUCUGCAUCCAAGACAGUGAAAGGGAAACAUUGAGAGGCAGGCUGCAUAAAGACAAUCUCACUUCCACUUCUCUUUUGUGGAGCAGAUGCUUAGUUUUGUAAAUCGAGACAAACAAAAUUGAUUGCCUUCCAAUCAUUGUCAUCUCCUUAUGAAAAGAAAGUCGUGACAUGGUGUAUUCCUCACCGUCGUCUCCACGCCUCAAACACAGGAACAGAAACAUAGAGACUAACAACGAGAGAUGUCUUGAGAUGAUUUCAACAAAAAGGUCGGCUAAGCAACUGUAUUUCACUCGACAAAGGAAUCCUCUGUUUGUGAAGGGGUCUGCUCCGAGGCUCUGGAAACAAUUGGUCUGAUCGAGUUCCCACGCUGAUAGCACGACAAUGUGCUAUCAAAACUCUCAUGUCGGGUCAAGUACCAUCAGACAGUGUCUGGCAAACAUUUGAAAGAUGUGUUCAAUUAAUUGAGUCUUUGCCCACCUGACCAUCAGUGCCUGCUCUCUGCCUGAAGGGUGUCUACGGGGCAGAACAACAAAACAUCUGGAAGAGUCUCGCUACAACAUCUGUCCAUCCUUUGCUCAACAAAUAUCUAGGUUUGAUGCCAGCCGGUGUGCACUUGACCUCAUUACGUAGCGGAGGAGAUUGCUAGCGUAGAACUAACGUGGUGUAAUUGUGUAUUUAUAACGCUUUUUUAAUAUGCUAAUGCACAGUUUCACACACUGGAGAAGAGGCUGUUCUGAAAGGAAGCGUAACUGAGACUAAUAAGUAAAAAAUACUAAAAAAACAGACAAGAUCUCAGUGAACACUCGACGGCCAUGUCAAUACAUUACCAUCGACUUUACAGUAGAGUACAGUACAGUUAAAUAACUUAGUGACUCUGCAAAAGGCGUUAUUUUACAAGCAGCAAAGGGAAAACUCCUAGUAUUAAUUGGUGAUGAAUGACUCUUUAAUGCAUCAAUUAAACCAUACGUUCCCCCAAUAUAUUCUAUAUGAUAUACUGUAAGUACAGUACAGUCUUUUAAAGAGUGCAGCAGCACAUUUGGUCUCAGUUCACAUAUCACUAACAUGACAAGCUGCAAACAGCACAGAGUCAAAGGGUCAAGGCUCGAGGCAAAGGCAAGAGACAGCUCUCAUGCGUGAUUAAUAAGUCAUGAGUAAAGACACAAGAAGUGAGAUAGCAAUGCUCUGCGUUAAGAAAAACAUCCACUUUCAGUAAAUGUGACAUUCUCCAUGCUGUCGCUGUCCCUCACCUCCGGAUAGGCAGAGCCAAUGAAGAGAGCAGACCCGUUGUUGGGAAAGAGAGAGACACUGUGGCACUACUGCGUAACCACGAUGGCUUCAUGAAGAGCAAAGGGCUUUAAGAUAGUGGCAAUCAAGAGAACACAAGCACCACACGCUAUGUCUACAAUUAGUUACAAGACAAGAUGCAUCAGUAUGUGAUGGAUUGUCAUGUGUUCGCUGUAUGUUGAGAAAUCAAACCAUGACUCAGCUAUCUAAAGGUGUUUGGGUAGGAUCACUUCCUGGACUAAAAGGUAACAUGCAAAAGUCCAACAAGAACUAUUUCGAUGACGUUAUUUCAAUGACAUAGUCGCGUUGGACUUAUUCCUUAGUUUGAGUGUUUAACAAGAAUUUUUUUGUGAUUUUUACAAUGUUCUGCAAUGUUUGGAAUAACAGAAACCGUUUUAUAGAUUGACGAAUUGCUCAAUUACUAACACAUUUCCUGAGGGGAACCCUGUGGACCUUUCCGACACACCAACAUGCAGCUCACACACCGCAAAGACACUCCAAAAUGAUGCAAACUAUACACUACAUAAGACUUGUCUAUAUGUAUAGAGGGGUUAAGAGGAGGUGUUGAUUCAAUUCAAGCAGCAGAACUGUAUCAUUUUCACAAAGUAUGCAUUAAUUGCGAGGCGUUUAGACUGAGUAGCAGUAGGCCUACACCAUGCAGGUGUUUUUAUUGUAUCCAUUCUCUCUUAGUUCUGUACGCUGUAAGCACUACUUUAGUACAAAGAAAGCUACUGGCACAUUUUGGAGAUUAAGACACAAACGAGUACAACCCAUAAAUCUCAUCAUGAUUGCUUUUGGCGGAGGCAUUGUUGUCAAAACAAUGUCCAAACAUGUGCUGGAAGCCAGCGCCUCCGUCUCACAAAAUUCCUCAGAUAAUCAUCCCAUUUUUUCUCUCACGAACACUUCCCCGCGCUCUGUGUCGAUUUCAGCCAGCGCUGUGAUGAGAAGCUUCCCCUUUCAUUCAGGUUCCUCUCCGCCUCUCAUUCUCCAUGUCUGAAGCAGUGUUUAAAUGUGAAUGAGUUUGCAUCUCCGACAUCAUUCAUCCUCUUACCUCUCACUGGUGCAGAGAGGUAAGAGACUCUUUUGAUGUUUUCAAAGCCAGGAGUGGAGAUUCAGGCUCUGAUUCCUCUCUGCACAGCACGGCGCUUUGCUAAGUCAAUAGCAGCUAAUGAGGGCCUCGACAAGCAGAAACCACAAUGCAAAUUGAAUAAACUGAGAUAAGGAUUCUUGUAACAUCCAAAAGCAAUGCCAUGGUAAUGACUGACAUCAUGAAGCGAUAUUGUUUGCCAGUGAAAAAGCUUUUGUUCGUGUCGCUGAUAGAAAGGUGGCGGGGUCGUGUUGUGAAAUCCCAGACCUCCUUUAGGGAGAAGCGAUUCCAUUUUUCUUUGUGUUUCUUUUUUCCUUCUUUUGCAAAUAUGUUCAAUGAUAACCAUUAUGGAUAAGUGCUAUUCUCAAACCACAGGUGUCAAGCGGCAAUAAAAUAUUUGAUGAAUUGCCCGAGCCAGGUGUUGUGCUGGUGGGGCGGAAUUCCUCCGUGAUUUAUCAUCGCAGCUUUUGUCUGACACUGACAGGCAGCAUAUAGGAGGACUUGAGCUUCAACUUUAAUCAACGCAUCGUGUUAUUUUAUUGCAAAACUCAUUCGAAUAAAUGUUGAAAUAAACCUGUGAUGUGAGCCGAUGAAUGCAUGUUGGAACUCCUCCGACUUACAUCUGUCAUAAUUCAGAUUUUAUGGGUCUUUUGGGGAAUAUUUUCUAUAUUAUCAGAUUCAUAUUUAGCCCAGUCUGCUCUGAUUGGUUAGCUGUCCGGCUCUGUUGUGAGUGGGCAACCACUUAGAAAUGUCCCGCCCCUUAGUCCAGUGGUUCUCAA
Gymnodraco acuticeps is the source of this 3667-nucleotide long non-coding RNA. RefSeq lists it as uncharacterized. NCBI's taxonomy places the organism in Eukaryota, Metazoa, Chordata, Actinopteri, Perciformes, Bathydraconidae. The transcript is spliced from 3 exons. The record is from RefSeq and is a predicted model, not a curated record.